Long non-coding RNA from Dromaius novaehollandiae (emu), 5604 nucleotides. RefSeq lists it as uncharacterized. The record is from RefSeq and is a predicted model, not a curated record. The transcript is spliced from 2 exons. NCBI's taxonomy places the organism in Eukaryota, Metazoa, Chordata, Aves, Casuariiformes, Dromaiidae.
UUCGUGGGGGGGGGUUCCUCGGAGCAAACAUUAAAAGCCUAAUGCUAGGAGCGCUCGCCCUCGGCGCGCGGGCUGCGGGUGCGGCGGGCCGGGCUCCGCGGCCACGCGCGGAUACCUGCCGCUGGAGGGACGGCCAGCGGCUCCGCACACCGCCCUGCUGGCGACCGCGCCGGGGGCGUCUCACUGUUGUUUUGUCGGCUGAGUCCUUCUCAUGUGUCCUCUUAAUUGCGGGCUUGUAAAUCUGACGUGUCCUAACUAGCGAUCGCAAGAAGCGUAACUCCUGAUCUGGAUGCUGACUAAUGUGUAUCUUCACUGAUGUUUCUCAGCUUGAAUUACACUGAUGGAAGGAUGUACGUCUGUGCGGACACGGUCCCAGCACGCUCGCUGCAGGGAAGCCGGAGAGGCCAAGGCGCGUGCAGGGCUGCACUCGGCCACCUCGACUGCACACGCUGCCCCAACUUAGCACUUCUCUGCACAACACGACGUCUGCCUUGCAGCACCUGCAUCAAGGACCAGGAAAGCAGGUCCCGCCGCGACGUGUUUUCGAGAGUUUUGGAGGUCCCUCCAAAGCAGCGAUCUGCAGAGCAAGCACUCAAGCAGGCAGCCGGGAAGGCGGCAGCAGGGCAGGCGGGCUGCCGAGGCCGCGUGGCAUCGCCUGCAGCUGCUCCAAGCCGUUUCUGCUACCCGUCCAGCCCAUCACAGUGCGUCUCAAAUGGGGUUGUCUGUGACUACAACCAUCAGUGAAAAACGCUUUCAAGUUAAACACAGUGAAUUGCAAAAUAAAGCUGCAUCCUCUCCUCGCCCAAAAAGGACCGCUGACAGUCAGAGAGCAAGAAAUAUCCCAAAUACUUCGUUUGCACCCUGCGUUUCCUGAGGCACCACAGGCUACCAGGAUCGCCGUCCUCCGGAGGCCAGUCUGCCACGCUGAUCCCCAACGCAAGGCUUUGCUAGGGGAAGCAGAGGCUGGGAGUGCCUGCCUGCCCGUCACUAAUGUGUUUAUCCUGGGGAAUUAAUGAGCAAACCAUUUACUACUGUGCUGAUACAGCCUUCGAGAAAGCUACACUUUUAUUCAUGACGCCGUUCCGGUUUUGAACAUCAGGAAGUAAAUAUCGUUAGACUUAUUUUUUGAUUCAAAGCAAGCACUGAAUACCAAGCGAUCGCUCAUGACGAAUGCCCCCGAUGAAAGCAGCUGGCAGGCUCUGCUUCAUCUGUGUGCUCACCAAUUGCUUCUCCAAGUUUUAUCUAAAAUGUCAAGUAACAGGCUUUUUUUCUUUUUUUUUAGUAAAUGGGUGCAUGCACCUGUGUUGCUCCCAGAACAACCCUCAAAAUGCGUGCACGGAUCAGGCCUCACCACUAGCACUAUGGAAGGUGGGAUACCAGGCCAGCUGACAGCUCCCCAAGCUUUUGAAGGUCGCUCCCCAUGUUUUUAAAAGCAUAUUCUCAAAUAAUUCUGCUCCGCGUGCUCUGCUUGUCAAGGAGAGGUUACUAACGCAUGCAGUUUGAAACGGUCCGUGUCAAGUCUGCAUCACAUUUCAGGCUGUACAUUUACUUGAAACUACAAGUAAAUCACAAGGGUGUGAAGCUGGGGAAAACAAAUCCACCCCUUUCGAUUUCUAAACACUACAUGAACCUGAAAAAUAGGGAAAAGCGGUGCGGCUGGAAUGCCAAAAAGCAGGUACAGCUCCAUUAGGGUUCAGCUCAGUCCAUCCCAGGUUAUUUUACAGCCUUUCAAAUUAACUCUCGCUCACUUUCUAAUGAAUCACACUCACAUUUUUAAUUUAUGUCUUCCUAUUUCUUUCCCACCCUGCCACUUGCACUUUCAAAGGGCACUAGCACUCACUUAUUUCCUCUCCUGAACUGAGUUUUCUUCGGAUGUCAGCUGUCGGACAGAAGUGUCCCCCUUCGUGUAGGGAAGAGGGCGGUGCCCUGGAUGGGUGACGGCAGCCUGCACCCCGGACGUCCCGCAGAAACCAUCCGGAAGGCGCAGGCAGGCUCCCACGCCGGCUCGGAGCCCAGCCUCGCGGAAAGCAGCGGACCCGGGUCCUGCCUCGCUGCUCCGCUCUGGGGGAGCAGUUUUGGUCUCCGCUCAGUGACGGCAGACCCCCAGACACCACGCAGCGCCGCGGCCCAGGGGCGGCAACCUCGGCGCCCAGGCCAGCGCCAGGAACGCCGGAAACAAGCCUCGGGGCCACGGCCACCGUCUCCGACCUCAGCCCGCAGAGCCGGAUCAGUACCCCCAGGCCCAUCCAGCCACCAAAGCGACAAGCAUUAGCAACCUGUUUGCCACGGGAAGCGUCUCUGAUACGUAUUCCCUGGGGCUGCUACUGCAAGAAGGGAGUAACGUUUGUGGGGCGUUUUGACCACGCAAACACCACUGAGAACGAAGCUCCACAAUCAGCUGAUCCUGCACAGUCCCUACUGUGACAUUUAUUUUAAAACUGUAGCAUUCAAUCACUUCAACUGAUAUUUAAAAGAAAAAACUGGGGUCAAACAUAUUUUUCAAGAAAAUCAUUGCAGUAGUACUGCUUUGCACUCAGAAUUAUUUAUGUGGGUUCCUGGACUGACUUCGGUAUAGCUUGAUUCAGGGAUCUGAGUAUCUGAAUGCUCAAAUAUCUGACAAGCUAAACCAAGCCGAUUUUAUUGAGAGAAAGCUCCAUCAGCAGAACAUCGUCCUCAUAGAAACAAUAACUGUACAAUAAACAUGUAACUAUCACUAUCUUCAUCCAAGGUCUGCUGGCUUUUCAUUUAGAGAAUAUGAUCAUCAAUCAAAAAAGAUAUUAAUUAACAUCAAGUAGCACAUUAAAAAGCAGCCUUUGUCACACGGAGAGACUCGGACUGGCAUCCAGGACUCCUGGCUUCUAAAACUAAACCCACACCUGACUGUUUCUCAAGGUAGAUAAAUCUCUAUAAUUUACCUUUCCCUCCCCAAAUAGGGGUAAACAGUUCUUACCCACCUCCCAGUGGGCCUGAGAAGAUUAAGAAUGGUAAAAUGCAUGGAAAAUGCAAAACUAGAGGUAUUAUUAUUAUUAUGCCGCCAGGCACAAACCCGCUAUGUUGGGGUGCCCCGUGCGAUGAUGGGGCAGCCCCCCCGUAAAGGGGCCACGUGUAAAGCCCCAGGGCAAAGCCACGGAGAGGGCUGUGGCCCCGGACGCCCCAACCGGACUCCGGAGAGAAGCCUAAUGGAAAAGCCGAGACCUUUCUAUGGGUAAACAGCACAGUAAUAAUGGCAUAUCCCAAAUCAUGAAAAAUAAAUCAGCGGGAUGAUUACCUGGAAGACGAGCUGAAGAUAAGAAUAAUUAAGGCCGAAAUGACGUGGGGGAGCAGGGACUGGCGCAUGGUAUUAGCUAAACUGCACUAAACCGGACACGAGUCCCAGCACCGGGGUGGCUGCGGCAUAAGAGUGAGCCAGUUUCAUUGUGUGAAGCAGUCUAGACUGAGGAAUGCUUGAAGACUCUGAAAUGAUACUGUUUCAUGCAUUAUGCAUUAAAAGUAUAAACUAUUGAUACAACACUGUCCCACAAGGCUGCGGUUAAAAAUUAAAGCAUUAACUUGGAGGUCAAAGUACAGAACGUAGCCAAAAAAGUACAGAAACCAGAACUCCUAGUGCAUAUUCGCACCAAAGAUGAAGGACAGGGAUCUGAUAAAGAAAGCACCUGAGAAGAGGUCCAUUUGCUGCAGGAGGAGGAAGUCGGCUCAGUCGUAGUGCUCCCCUGGACCAGGAAUGGUGCAGGAAUUUGUACAGGUCAGGUUCAGAUGAGGAGAGGAGAUCAGGGCUGGGCAAGCUGCUCAGCUGUCCCAGACUACCAGCAGCACCUGCUAAUCUCAGGUUGCUUACGAGUGACAAGGCGGCAGGUUCAGCCUCCCAUCCAUUCGUGUUUGGAAAGACCUGCUCUGUGCUUACAACUGAAGUUAACAGCGGGGAAAAUUGGGGUGCGCCUGCAUUUCUCCUCAAAACACCCUUUUGCAGACUGCAAAAAUAAACCCUGAGGGUUCCUUCUUUUAUUCAUAAUAAACGGCACCAUUUAAACUAAUGGUGUAAACCUGAUACCAUCUGAAAAUGGAGGAAAAUAAACUAAUAAACUAAUCAAUAAUUAACAGGAAAAGGAAAAGCUACGCCGCGGUCUCCAUACGGAUUCUAUAUGCAACGUAAAUCCAAAUGGCACACGUAAUGUUUUGAAAGGUUACAGAUGUCCCUUGCUGCUGCGUUUGUGGGGGACCGACUCCGUUGCUGAUUACGCGGUAGAACCGGUGAAGGCUUGGAUCCCCUUUCUCAGCCAGACGGCGGUGGUUUUACCGGAGCGCUGUGCAGUUGUUUUGCUCCGUAGCUACACCUUGCUGAGGAGCUUCACAGUAACCUGGAGGACCACAGAGAGACUCAGCAACACCCGCGGGGCUGGCAGAGCGGCCCAGGGACUGGCGACGGAGGCAGCAGUGCACUAAGAGAUGUGAGGGGGGUGGAACGAGCGACUCCGACCGGCAGCUCUCGCGUGGUGCUGGCACUACUGAGACUGCUGCUGCCCCCACUGAACCAUCUUGGGGGGGAAAAUACAAACAGUGUCGUUUUCUCAACAUUAUUUAGGACUGUGAAAUAGAGAAAGGCCAGAAACAUUUAAAUCAGAGCCAUCUUCUCUCUCAUAACAGAGUGUAACAGCAGCAAGAGAAAAAGCCUGCUGUGAGCUAACGAUCCAGUGUCCUCACCUGCGAUCUCAGUGCUUUUGGCCAUCUGUUAUUGGUACACUGCAAAACAUUCAGGUCUUUUUUUUCGGACAACACUGUAUUUUUAAUUUCACCUUUUUUAUUCUUCCGUUAAGAACAUAUGAUCUGGGCUCCUUGUGUCGGUCCUGUUUGCAUUCCUGUGCUCUUCUUGGAGCUUCCAGAGUUAACAGGAUUUUAGGGGAUAUCUGUGCAGCAACCUGGGGAGCUGGCCCUGAGCACCGGCACUGAAGAUGCAGGAGGAGGCAGCAGCACAAGCCAGCGGCCAGACCACGUAGCCCUAGGGCAGCUUUGUCUUCUGCAACACCCUUCUCUGAGCAGGUACAGUUUAUCUUUCCUCAGCACCGCAGACCACGCUACAUUUUGCCAGACUUCUGAAAGUUCAUGGCUGAAAUCCAGAUUUGGCACUUUGUACAUGCACAGAGCAAAAGCCCAGGACGUCAGGCGAGAAAAGCCACAGCAAGAAAUGUGGAGAUCCCCAUCCACACCAGCCCCCUGCUUUUUCUGGGUGCAACUCAAGGUGUUAAUCACGAUCUUCAGCUCCCCAGAACACCUGACAUCUCCCCAUAUGAAAGAUCCUUUUCUUUCUUUGAUGAAUGAAAUUAAGAUCUGUUGAUUCUGUCCUGCUGAAAGCUCCUGAAACAACUUCUCAGGGCAGGACAAUUUCAGAUCAUUCUAAGGCUCCUUUGUUUUCUUCACUUAGCUUAGAGAAUACCUGAAAUAACUCAAAUACUUACCGGAGCACCUAGCACAUUUCUGAGCGUUAUGUGAACAACAGCACCAAAAGGCACGCACUAACACAAAUAGCACAGCUUGGCUCCUGAAAUCUCAACCAUAUCCAAAAAAAAAAAAAAGAAAAAAAGCAUGGAGGGCAACAGAUCGGCUAAGGUU